UUGCCUUUUCUCAUCAUGGCUACAAACUCUUCAUAGUUAAUUCUUCCAUCUUUGUCAGUGUCAACUUCUGCAAUGAUCUCUUUUAUUGUUUUUGGGUCGCCCAUAUUAUAUUUGUUAAGGGCAUUCUCCAACUCUUCCAUUGUGAUGUACCCGCACUGGUCCUUGUCAAAAUAUUCAAAGGCCUUGUAUAAGUGGUCCUCUCUUUCCAU
This 209-nucleotide unclassified non-coding RNA is filed under the name Hevea brasiliensis (rubber tree). Lineage: Eukaryota; Viridiplantae; Streptophyta; Magnoliopsida; Malpighiales; Euphorbiaceae. The record is from RNAcentral.